Molecule: non-coding RNA, 1259 nt
Organism: Megalobrama amblycephala (Wuchang bream)
Lineage: Eukaryota; Metazoa; Chordata; Actinopteri; Cypriniformes; Xenocyprididae
Source: the annotation of a RefSeq genome assembly
UAUCUGUGAGGUUCAUAAUUUAUCCGCAUGUUCUCGUUUCAUCAUGUAUCUGCAGGUGUUUUCAUGCUCCAUUGAGUGAAGUUUAUUUAUGAAAUGAAAGUGGCUUUAAAAUAAAAAAUGUAAUUGUGAGAGUCAAAAUAAAGACAAAAAUGUCACAAUUAUUUCUAAACAUCCAGUUUGCUGCAGCAGUGUUUGAUGAGGGAAAUUUAAUUUCUUAACAUUUCUGCUCUGCUGUCAGUGUCUGAGACACAUUUGAGAGGAAACGCUUUGAAUUUGUGUCCCACCCCUGUGAUUGGAGCUCAAUAUCAGAGCGUCUGUCAGUCCGACUGUAAAUCCAACAUCACUGUCCUUCAGUUUCACUCAUUCCCAGUAAAGAUGAGGACACACGCUCUGAUCAUCUGCUCUCUGCUGCUGCUGCUCAACGAGUGUAGAGGACAGAUCACCGUCACUCAGAGUCCCUCAAUGACAGCAGCUCAACCAGGACAAACUGUGAACAUCAACUGUAAAACCAGCAGUAAUGUGUACAGAUGGAGUGGUGGGGAGGAAGGUUUAGCCUGGUACUUACAGAAAUCUGGAGAAGCUCCUAAACUCCUGAUUUAUUAUGCAAACCGCCGUCAGUCAGGAACUCCAACUAGAUUCAGUGGCAGUGGAUCUAACAGUGAUUUCACUCUGACCAUCAGUGGAGUCCAGACUGAAGAUGCUGGACAUUAUUACUGUCAGAGUGUACACUGCAUAACUAAUUGGCUUGGUGUUUGUAAUGGUGAUUAUGUGUUCACACAGUGAUAAAGAGUCGUACAAAAACCUCCGUCAGUCAGAGUCACAGUGACUGAACUGAUACUGCAGCUGCUCACACACUUUCACACACUUUCACACACUACUGACACACAGAGGACAAACACAGGAACUACACAUGUGCUCAAAACUGACUUAUGACUGAAAUCAGCUCUAUUAGACUGUGAUCUGUCCUGUGACAGACGGGUUUGACUCAGAUAUGCUCAGAUUCAGAGAAAACAGAGUGUGUAAAUUGAUAUGAAAUCAAACUAACAAUAAUGGUGUCAUAUGUUGUUUUGUUUUUGUACAUUAAACUACACUAAAGUCAUGGUGUAUCAGUAACAUGCAGAUGUUUUUCAAGCAGCUCCUUCAUCUAAAGCUGUUUAUAAAUGUAUUACUCAUAACUCAUUUCUCAUGAGCAGAAGUGAAAGUGUUCCAGUUGAGAGCGUUGAACCAAUCAAAGAGUGAAACUGUGAGUUUGAGGUGAA